CAGUUUAUAGUUUAUUUAAAAUAUAAUGUUUGGGUCAUUAAGAAUGUAACUGA
This 53-nucleotide transfer RNA is filed under the name Allodiplogaster sp. MY-2022. RNAcentral's name for it is "tRNA-Pro". Lineage: Eukaryota; Metazoa; Nematoda; Chromadorea; Rhabditida; Diplogasteridae. The record is from RNAcentral.